UUUUUUUAGUGAAAAACGACUCCGGUAGCGAGUGAAACAGUGAGUCCUCUUUUGUUUUAAUUAAAAGAAUCACACAACCAAACAAAUGGAAAUAUAUUAAAACAUAUAAGAAUCGCAGACAAAAAACAUAGGAAAGUAAACAUGAAAUAAAAAUAGACAAGAAAUAGAGAUAGAACAUGUAGUCGACAGUACCCAUACCAAAGAAACGAAAAGAAAGAACAAAAUCCAAAAUUUUUUAAUCAAACAAGAUCUAAUAUAUAUAGAAUGACCUAAGUUUUCAUUCAAAAACAGUUUCCAAGGUAACUGUCAACAUCUAUUGGGGAAAGUUUUAAAUGACAUUGCAACGGUCAUCUAAGCAACGUUUGGGUGUACAUAGGCGCCGAAUUUUUUUUGGAAAAAUAAAUAAAUAGAUAGAGAAAGAUACUCAUACUAGCUUUCGAAAGCAAAACGUAGUAGGGAAAAACAAAAAAUACCAUCGUCGACUGUGAUGAAGAAACGUGAAUAAAAAAUAUCGGCGACAGAUAUGUAUGAAAACCUCCCGUCGACGACUACUAUGAGAGAGUGCUUCGAAAUCCAAUACGAGCGGACAGCGAGAUGAUGACGAAGACGUAUGCACAAAAGCGGAAGAAACGACGGACGAUGCCCAGACGACGCGCCGGGAAGUAGCUUCAAGAAUCGCCGGAACAAGGGUUUUAGGGGUUUGGAGGGUGAGCACAAAAAUAAAACCAAAUCUUUUUUAAAUGAUUUUUUUUUUGGCUAGUAGUAGAUGUCAGCAAUGCUACUAACUAAGCAGCUUUAAAGUAUGGUAGUACUUUUCUACUACUAAGCUAGCACUAGGAUACAAGUAGCUAUUUGCAAUUUUUUAAUUUAUUCCCAACAGGUUGCAUGCAACCGGUAACAACUUCAUCAAGUUGAUGCUUUAAAAAAUCGAUGGCCAAGAACGCUCCUUAAAACGAACGGACGAGAUGAUGAGAGAUUCCCAUAAGAACUGUUCUUAACUAUUAUACACCGUAUAAGCAAAUUCUAUUAUUGGUAGGUGUUGUCUUCCCAACAUCCAUUAAAAUCCAAUACACAUGCUUGAAGCAUAUAUUAUAACUUCUGGAUGGUCCAUUCUGAUUGUCCAUCCGUUUGUAGAUGAAAUUUGAAUUGGAGUUAUGACCUUAGUUCUUAUAUAAGCUCUCCAAAAAUUUAGCUUUCAAAUACUUUGAUUUUACACAAAAAAAAUCAAGUUUUAAUUCUUUUUAUCACUUCAUCAAUCAUGGUUAAGGUUCAUUGUCUAAAUGAUCAAAUUGAAUAGUACAUUUUAUGAUAUUAAUUUUCAAUGCAUUAAAAAAAUGAUUGAUUUAAAAAAAAAUUAUAGUAAUGACUAAUUAUGGAACAAAAUAGAAAAUAAAUUAUAUACAUAUUUUUGAAUAGUUAAAAAAAAUUAUAAUAAUUACCUUUAAAUAUAAUUUUAAUGUUGACAUAAAACUCCAUUUUUAAUCAGCAAAUACAAUCCGUAAAAAAAACAUUAUAAGAAUAAAAUACACAAUUUCGUUAAUAACUAAAAAUCCAAGAAAUGAAGGACCAACAAUGAUCCGUGUUUUUGUAAUUUUUUUAUGGAUAAAAUUGAUCAAUAUUUAAUGAUCGUAAAAUAUCAGAAAUUUUAAAUAAACUAAUGAUUCGAGAAAAACAUAUUGGUUGAAUUUAGGAGGAUUUGAUUUCAAAACAAAAGGUAAAGCAGAAAGAAUAAUACUUGUAAAUAUCAAAAUCUGUGAUUUUCAAUCUACAUAUACCUACCUAAAUGAUAGUUCAUGAUUGCAAAAUGCAAGGAUCAAAUUAUUUGUAUAUUUUAAAUGUAAACACGUACAGGUAACUGUUACAAAGAUAGAAAAAAUCCAAAUCGACAAACUGAUUAGCAUAUAAAACCACCAAAUCAAGGGAUUACAGGGGAUCGAUCCAACAUGACAGACAUAAACUACAUAUUCCCAAAAAGAAUCGCAAAAAAAAACUAAGAAAGAACAAACCACAACGUAUACAAUAAUCAGAAAAACUAAACAUUCGAUAGAGAAAACUAACCGUUGUAGUUCUUGGAGGACGAUGCUUGGAUGUUGUAAUCUGAAUGAUGGAUUCUGUAGGCAUGAUCUAACAGAAAAAAUCCAACUUAAAUCGGAGAAGCUUUUGAAGAAUGGAAACUUUGAACAAAAAUGACGGCAGUUGCUCACACACAUUUUAGUAUAAAAC
This 2223-nucleotide long non-coding RNA is filed under the name Zostera marina. RNAcentral's name for it is "long non-coding RNA (ZMAR_LNC001962)". The record is from RNAcentral. Lineage: Eukaryota; Viridiplantae; Streptophyta; Magnoliopsida; Alismatales; Zosteraceae.